UAAUCCUGUGGAUUUGAGUAACCCAGCUAUUAUAAGCUCUACUCCCAAAUUUCAGGAACAGUUCUUGAAUGUGAGCGGAAUGCCGCAAGAAUUGAAUCAGUAUCCCUGCCUUAAACAUCUGCCUCAAAUAUUUUUUCGUGCCAUGCGUGGAAUCAGCUGUCUGGUGGAUGCAUUCUUAGGUAUUUCUAGACCCCGAUCAGACAGUGCUCCCCCAACACCCGUGAAUAGAUUAAGUAUGCCUCAAAGUGCUGCUGUCAGUACCACCCCCCCACAUAACCGGAGGCACCGGGCUGUUACUGUGAAUAAGGCCACCAUGAAGACAAGCACAGUUAGUACUGCUCAUGCCUCUAAAGUUCAGCACCAGACGUCCUCCACCUCUCCUCUGUCAAGUCCAAAUCAGACUAGUUCAGAACCCCGGCCACUGCCUGCCCCUCGGAGACCAAAGGUUAACAGCAUCUUGAAUCUCUUUGGAUCAUGGUUAUUUGAUGCAGCAUUUGUUCACUGUAAACUUCAUAAUGGGAUAAACAGAGACAGCAGCAUGACUGCCAUUACAACACAAGCUAGCAUGGAGUUUCGACGGAAAGGGUCACAAAUGUCCACAGACACCAUGGUUUCCAAUCCUAUGUUUGAUGCAAGUGAAUUUCCUGAUAACUAUGAAGCAGGAAGAGCUGAGGCUUGUGGGACACUGUGUAGGAUUUUUUGUAGCAAGAAGACUGGAGAAGAGAUUCUGCCAGCUUAUUUAUCCAG
Molecule: non-coding RNA, 747 nt
Filed under: Homo sapiens (human)
Lineage: Eukaryota; Metazoa; Chordata; Mammalia; Primates; Hominidae
Source: RNAcentral